GCAGAACUGAUAAAGACCUGGCCGUGCCCAUGACGUCACUCACUGUUGAGCAGUGGCACAUAGAUGCCUUGAGCUCCGUUGCCAGGGCUGGUCAGCAUGCUAAAAGGGGAACAAAUUCCACAACUGCGUGCCUCCCUCCUCAUGCAGUCUCAGCUGGGAUGCUCUAAGCAGGCCCCAGCCGACGUCUUCCUCUCCCCUUCUUCACUUGAAUUUUGUCUGCUUCUCUAGAAUGGCAUUUAUCCAAUUUGCCUUGUAAGGGCAGGAAGUGUGAUGCAAUGACAGAGAGCGAGCUCCGUGAGGUCUGUUUCUUCCUGACUUUGUGAUUUGGGGGAAAUGACUUAAAUUCUCCAUGUUUCUGCUUUCUCCCCUGCAGAACAGAGCUCAUCAUAAUACCCAUCUCAUAGAUCAACGCAUUAACACAUGCAAAUUAAAACAAUAUGUAGGUCGAUUAAAAGAUUACUAAUACAUGUUGAGUGGUUUGACGGAAGCCUGGCGUGUGGUCGUGAGCAGGCAGCGGAUGCCAGCUGCUAUUUUCCCUGUCACUGGUGCAGGAUUAUCUCUGGGGUGACAAUGUAAUAAUAAUAACAAUAAUAAUGGUGGUGGCGAUGAUGACAGCAGCUGCCUUUUCAUGGGCACAUAAUCCAUAGCAGACACUGCUUCUAGGGCAACGCUUUUAUGUCAUAAAAUCCUUGUCCUUCACCGUAGGGAAGUGACUUGCUCCAGGUGAUACAGCUUGUGAAAUGUCACCACUAGGGUUCAAACCCAAGUGCUGUCCAGUUUCACAGGUGAUCUAUUAGUUCAUUCAAACAAUCACAGGGCACAAUGAGAUAUGAUUUCACAUCCACUAGAAUGGCCACAAGCAAAAAGUCAGACAAUGCCUAUGGUCGGCGAGAAUGUAGAGAGAUAGGGGCCUCAUUCACUGCUGGUGAGAAUAAUGGGAGGUGGUGUCCCUGCUUUGGAAAGCAGGUGGCAGUUGCUUAAAAAGUUAAACAUAAAUUCACCAUGCGAUCCAACAAUUCCACCGUAGGUAUUUACUUAAGAGAAGUGGAAACUCAGGUCUACUUAAAGACUCAGUCCUAAAUGUUCACAGCAGUGUUGGUCAUAGUCACCAACAGUGGAAAUGUUACCUGGCAGCCCAUCAGCUGGUGAGUGAAUAAAAAAGUGGCACAUCCAUAUACUGGAAUUCUAUUUGGCAAAGAAAAGGAAUGAGCUACCCAUACACACUACAGCCUUAUGUUGAGUGAAACAAGCCAGACGUAAAAGACCAUGUACAUAUAUUGUCAGAUUUCAUUUAUUUAUAUGAUAUGUCCAGAAUAGGCAAAGUUAUAGAGUCAGAAAGUAGACUCGUGGUUGUCUGGGGGAUGGAGGUAGAAAUGAAGAUUAAGUUGUUUUUUUUUUUUUUUUUUUUUUUUUGAGACAGGGUCUUGUUGUCGCCCAGGCUGGAGUGCAAUGGUGCAAUCUUGGCUCACUGCAAACUCUGCCUCCCGGGUUCAAGAAAUUCUCAUGCCUCAGCUUCCUAAGUAGCUAGGAUUACAGGUGCCCGCCACCACGCCUGGCUAAUUUUUGUAUGUUUAGUAGAGAUGAGGUUUCGCCAUGUUGGCCAGGCUGGUCUCGAACUACUGACCUCAGGUGAUCCGUCCACCCCAGCCUCCCAAAAUGCUGAGAUUAUAGGCGUGAGCCACCCCGCCUGGCCCAAGAUUAAGUUUAAAUGAACAUGAAGUAAAAUCCUUUACUAGGGUCAUGAAAAUGUUCUAAAACUAGCUGAUGGUAAUGGACUCACACCUCAGUAAAUUUACUAAAAAUCAUUGAAUUGUACACUUAACAUUGGUGAAUUUGAUGAUAUGUACAUAAUAUCUCAAUUAAGCUGUUAAAAGUGCAGCAGUAGGCUGGGUACGGUGGCUCAGGUCCGUAAUUUUAGCACUUUGGCAGGCUGAGGUGGGAGGAUUGCUUGAGCACAGGUUGUUUGAGACUAGCCUGGGCAACAUGAGGAGACCCUAUGUCCACAGGGGAAAAAAAAAAAAAAAAGAGAGAAAGAAAAAAGAAAUUAGCUGGGUUUAGUGGCAUGUGCCUCUGGUCCCAGCUACUUGGGAAGCUGAAAUGGAAGAAUCGCUUGAGCCCAGGAAUUCAAGGCUGCAGUGAGCCAUGACUGUGUCACUGCACUCCAUCCUGAGCAACAGAGUGAGACUGUGUCUAAAAAAAAAAAAAAAAAAAAAAAACAACACGCAGUUGUGAACAAAAAGUUUUUGCUGUCAUGCUGUUUACAUUACAUUUGGUGGUGAGGGCUUGGGGGAUGGAGUAGGGGAAGGAUCAUGAAGACGUGGAUACUGAAGAGGCAAAGAGCCACUGGAGGGAACAUUGGGGCAGGGGAGUCACGGGUGCACAGACUUGGCCUGCUGGGGGAGCUGAUAGGAGGUUUGGGUCUCACAGGAGUGAGAGGCGCCUGGGGUGGAUCACACUGAGUCUCCUGGGCCCCAGGGAGGCACUGGAUUUGCCCUAAGUGGGGGGAGGCAGGAGGAACUGGGAGAAGCAGCCCAGUACCCAGCAGGGGCUAUGGAGCAGGAGUCAAAGAGAGUGGGCCCUGGCACCCUGUGAUGCGGGAGGAGGCACUGGGGCUCCCUGGGGUGGAGUUUGGGUUUUUACUGAAAUUCCCUGGUGUUGUCACUGCACAAGUGCCGGGCUUGUUUCUGGCUUCCAAAAGAAGUUACUUAAUUUCUCUGGCCUGUUUCCAUAUUGAUAAAACAGACAUAGAACUUUCUUUGGAAGGCUAGUAGAGGCAUUCAUUCAUUCAUUGAGCGAACAUUUACUGAGCACCUACUGCGUGCCACUCUGUCUUCUGGGCGCUGGGGAUAUAUCAUCAAUUACAAGAAAAAUCCUUGCAUGCGUAGACAUUUCAGCCUGAACAGAGCUCAUUUGUAGAAAUUGGUGCGUGCACCCCAGCUGGUGGCUGCCAUUUGUUGUGCUCCAAUACAUCAUCAUGUGCAUGGCAUUGCUGUAAUUUAGAGCAGGUGCCCAGGUGUCUGUCUCCUUCACAGCCACAGCCACUCCCUUCUGACCUCCCUCUCAUGGAUGUGGGAUGCUAUCCUUUGCGAAAUGGACCACAAAUACAGGGUUAACCCCCACACCCCCAGGUUUCCCAAAUGUCCCCUGGCUCUUGGGGGUUCUGCUUGGAAGGAUCACAUCCUGCUUUUACCCCUUCCUUGCUGUAGGGCCUUAGGCAAGUUUCUUCAUCCCAUUCCAGGAUCGUAGCUACCUGGUGCAGCACCUUUGUGCAAAUUAGGUGCUCCCUUUCCAGAGGAGCCCAUCCCGCACCAAGUGCUGCCUAAGGAGUGGCUGGUGUAUUUCUUCAAAUUAGAACACAAUACUCCUUCCCUUGAUGCAAGCAAGGCAGGCAUGUGGCUUGUUGAGCAAAGCACAGGCUAGAAUUUAGUCAGUGUUUGCUCCUCUGCCCAGUACCUUCGUGUAGUGAACACCCGCUCAUCCGUACGGCAGUGGCAAGGCUAAACCACAGCGUUGUGUGAAGCUGAAGUGAGACAACACUCACUGUAGACACUCAGCGUGACACCCAUCACGUAUUACAGACUAUAUAGUUGACCUUUGAAUAGCACAGGUUUGAACUGUGCAGGUCCACUUACUUGUGGAUUUUUUUCAAUAAAUACAUUGGAAACAUUUUCAGAGAUUUGCAACAAUUUGAAAAAACUUACAGAGGAACUACAAGCCUAGAAAUAUAUUUUUAAAAUUAAGCAAAAGUUAAGUAUGCCACGAAUACAAAAAAUAUAUGUAGGUACUAGUCUAUUUACUGCCACUAGUCUAUUUACUGCCAUACAUACUAGUCUAUGUAUGCCAAAAUGGAUACAAAGCUUUUUUUUUUUUUUUUUUUGAGACAGGAUCUGGCUCUAUUACCCAGGCUGGAGUGCAAUGACAUGAUCUCGGCUCACUGCAACCUCUGCGUCCCAGGCUGAAACCAUCCUUCCACCUCAGCCUCCCAAGUACCUGGGACUACAGGCACACGCCACCAUGCCCAGCUAAAUUUUUUGUAUUUUUGGUAAAGACAGGGUUUCUCCAUGUUGCCCAGGCUGGGCAAAUCUCUUAUAGAAAGUUAAAAUUGGCAGGGUACCGUGGUUCACGCCUGUAAUCCCAGCACUUUGGGAGGCCGAAGCGGGUGGGUCAACUGAGGUCAGGGGUUCGAGACAGGCCUGGCCAACAUGGUGAAACCCCAUCUCUACUUACAAUACAAAAAAUUAGCCAGGUGUGGUGGUAGGUGCCUGUAAUCCCAGCCACUUGGGAGGCUGAGGCAGGAGAAUUGCUUGAACCUGGGAGGCGGAGGUUGCAGUGAGCCAAGAUCACACCAUUGCACUCCAGCCUGGGAGACAGAGCAAGACUCUGUCUAAAAACAAAACAAAACAAAAAAGUUAAAAUUUAUCAAAAAUAUAUGCACGCAAACACAAACUCUAUUUGAUGCCAUUUGAAGUCAAGAGAAAUGCAAGCAAACAUAAAGAUGUGCAGUAUUAAAGUCAUAAGUGCAUAUUUACUGUAGACAUACUGUACUCCUAUAAUAAUUUCGUAGCCACCUCCUGUGCUUUCUCCGUGAGCUCAACUGUUGAGUAUCUGCUUCCAACACCACGUGAAGCUAAUCACCUCCUGGUGAGCAGUUCUCGCCAGUACACUGUGUACAGAAGUAAAAAGUGAUCUUUCAUAGUCAUUGCAUAUGUUUCACCAUGUUUAAUGCAAUACCGUAAACUUUGAAUAACCCCCUUGGCCCCAAAUGCGGGGCCACUAGUGAUGCCAGAGCUGCUUCCAAGAAGCAAAGAAAAGUCAUGACAUUAUAAAAAAGGGUUGAACUGCUUGAUAUCUACCACAGAUUGAGAUCUGCAGCCGCGGUUACUGCCGCUUGAGACAGACAACUUCUCUUAUAAACAGACAACAAAACUUACAGUAUUGAUAAAUACAGCACAGUGCUGUGAAGGUAUUUUCUCUUUCUAAUAAUGUUUUCAGUAACAUGUACUUUUCUCUAGCUUACUUUAUUGUAAGAAUACAGCACAUAAUAUAUAUAACAUACAAAAUAUGUCUUUUUUCUUUUUUUUCCAGAGACAGGAUCUUGCUCUGUCACCCAGGCUGGAGUGCAGUGGUGCGAUCAUGGCAUUGCAGCCUCAAUCCUGGGCUCAAGGGAUCCUCCCACCUCAGACCCCUGAGUAGCUGGGACUACAGGCACGCACCACCACGCCCAGCUAAUUAUUUUUAUUUUUAUUAUUUGUAGAGGUGGGGGUCUCACUAUCUUGCCCAGGCUGCUCUUGAACUCCUGGCUUCGAGCAGUCUUCCCGCCUCGGCCUCCUAAAGUGCUGGGAUUACAGGCAUAAGCCACUGUGCCUGGCUUCAAAUAUGUCUUACUCAAUUGUUUAUAUACUGGGUAAAGCUUUUGGUCAACAGUAGGCUAUUAGUAGUUGAACUUUGGGGGAGUCAAAGUCAUGCACAGAUUUUCCACUGCGUGGGGUUCGGCACCCCAUCCCCACGUUGUUCAAGAGUCAACUCCGUAGCCUUUGCCCAUCACUGCGGGACCUUGCAUUUUCCCUCCCCGGCUGAAGCAUCUUUUCCUGCCAGCCUCCGUUCCAAGCUCCAAGGCUGCCCCCUUGCGAGUUUCACAUGGUAUAACAGCGUCAUUAUCCUGCCUCCUGCCUCCUCUCCUACUCGGAAAUCAAAUGUUCUCUCCUGGGAACUGAUUUCAGAGUAGCUGUCCUCAAGUGCAUCACCGGAGUGGCAGUUCCUGUGGGUCAGAAACAGACUGCCUCCUCCUUCCCAUGGAGAAGCCGAGACUCAGGCAAGCUGGCGAGCCCUGCCAAGAUCACCGGGCUAGUUAAGCCGAAGAAUCAAGAUUCAAGUUCUCAUGUUUGUCUGUCUGCAAAGCCAGUAUGCUUUUCCUAACAAGACACCAGACUCUCUAAUCUGCUGGUUUGAUCAGUAAACCACUGUGACUCCAUUUCCUUCCCCCCAGGCCCCAUGAAGACUUUCCCCUCUCCUCAUCCCCACUCUGACUCCACAGACUGAAAAGAGUUCACUGGUUCUUUGAAGUGGCAUCUGAGCCAUUUUUAUUGUGAGCUCUGUCUCCCUGGCAGGUUAAUCCACACCAGUGUGUCCAUCU
Molecule: long non-coding RNA, 6133 nt
Filed under: Homo sapiens (human)
Lineage: Eukaryota; Metazoa; Chordata; Mammalia; Primates; Hominidae
Description: HSALNT0258858
Source: RNAcentral